This is a small nucleolar RNA of Syngnathoides biaculeatus (alligator pipefish), 72 nucleotides long. RefSeq annotates it as small nucleolar RNA SNORD2. The record is from RefSeq and is a predicted model, not a curated record. The transcript has a single exon. NCBI's taxonomy places the organism in Eukaryota, Metazoa, Chordata, Actinopteri, Syngnathiformes, Syngnathidae.
GAGUGAAAUGAUGCUUUUCCAUCUUUCGGGACUUACCCAUUAAUGGGGAUAUCCUUUUCUCACUGAUCACUC